This 460-nucleotide ribosomal RNA is filed under the name uncultured bacterium. Its description in RNAcentral is "partial 16S ribosomal RNA". It matches the Rfam family "Bacterial small subunit ribosomal RNA", at positions 338 to 795 of the family's 1533-position model. The record is from RNAcentral.
CCUACGGGAGGCAGCAGUGAGGAAUAUUGGUCAAUGGGCGCGAGCCUGAACCAGCCAAGUAGCGUGAAGGAUGACUGCCCUACGGGUUGUAAACUUCUUUUAUAAAGGAAUACAGUGAGGCACGUGUGCCUUUUUGUAUGUACUUUAUGAAUACGGAUCGGCUAACUCCGUGCCAGCAGCCGCGGUAAUAUGGAGGAUCCGAGCGUUAUCUGGAUUUAUUGGGUUUAAAGGGAGCGUAGAUGGGUUGUUAAGUCAGUUGUGAAAGUAUUCGGCUGAACCGGAAAAUUGAAAGUGAUACUGGCAGCCUUGAGUACAGUUGAGGUAGGCGGAAUUCGUGGUGUAGCGGUGAAAUGCUUAGAUAGCACGCAGAACUCCGAUUGCGAAGGCAGCUUACUAAACUGCCACUGACAUUGAUGCUCGAAAGUGUGGGUAUCAAACAGGAUUAGAUACCCCUGUAGUC